UCUUGGUAAUUUUGUUUAUCCAUUCAUUGAUGGAUGGAUAUUGUUUGUAACCUUUGUCUACUCUGAAUGAUACUGCCAUGAAUAUUGAUGUGCAAGUUUUUGUGAGAAUAUGUUUUCAUUCUGUUGGCUGUACAGUUGGCCCGCCAUAUCUGUAGUUUCCAAUUCAUGGAUCCAGAUGGCUGAUUGUAAAGGGACUCAAACAUCCUUUGAUUAUGGUAUCCAGGGUGGGGGGUUCCUGAAACCAACCCCCCGAGGAUACUGAGGGAUGACUCUACAUGUAGGAGUGGAAUUGCUGAGCCAUAUAACUCUAACCUUUUGAGGAAACACCAGACUUCUCCAAAGAAGCUGCACCAUUGUCCCUUUCCACUGGCCGCAAAUGAGGUAUCUCUGCCUCCUCAACGACACUUGUUAUUGUCCAUGUUUUGAUUAAAACCGUCCUAGUGGGUGUAAAAUGAGAACUCAUUUUGAUUUUGAUUUGGCUAGUGAUGCUGAGCUUCUUUUCAUGUGCUUAUCGGCCAUUUGUGUAUUUAUUUAAAUCCUUGGCAAAUUUAAACAUUGGGUCGAUUUUCUUUGUAUUGUUCAGUUGUAAGCAUUUUUUAUAUACCCUGAAUACUAGUCUCUUCUUAGAUACAUGCUUGGCAAAAUUUUUCUCCUAUUCUGCAGAUUGUCCUUUCACUUUAGUUUUUUUAAGCAUUAAAACAAUUUCUUUACAGGGGAGGUAAUUAGAUGUAUUGAUUUAUUUUAUUUUUCUUGCUAAGCAUGCACUCUGUCACUUGAUAUACCCCCUUCCCCUGUCAUUUCACUUUCUUGAUGAUGUAAUUUCUAACAAAAAGGUUUUAAAUUUGAUGAAGUCCAGUUUAUCUGCUUUUUUCUUCUAUCACUUGUGCUCUUCGUAUUGUAUCUAGGAAACCAAAGCCUAUCCUAGGACCACAAAGAUUUAUACUGUGUCUUCUUUUAGAAAGUUUAUAGGUUUAGUUAUUACGUUUCUGUCUGUGAUCAAUUUUGAAUUAAUUUUUAUUUAUUUAAAAUAUGGGGGUCCAGAUUCCAGAUUCAUUCUUUUGCCUGCAGAUACUCAGCACUCCCUGCACCAUUUGUUGAAUAGACUAUUCUUUCAAUGGAGUGUUGUUGACACCCUUGUGGAAAACUGACUGUAAAUAUAAGGAGACUGAGAAUUAGGUCUUCUGUAUUUUGGAUGGAGCUCAUUAUCAAUGACAGGAAGUUGUAAGGAAAAAGAUAUUGAUUCAUCCUGAGAAAAUAUUUUUCUGACCGUCAGCAGUGAAGAGGGUGAACACUGAAGAAGGUGAUCAUUGUUUGAGUGAGACGAGCCCCGGGUUGUACGGAGUCAGCAUCCCUGUCCUGGACACGGCACGUGUAGAUCUGUGUGGUGGGUGAGGCGGCGAGGCCGCGCAGGGAACGCGGAUGCCGGGCCAUUGGGCUGUGCUCAGGCCCGGUGGGGCUUUCUCCUAAGGGCAGUGGACCGUCAUUGACAGAUUUUUAGUAGGGGAGUGGGGUGCUCUCGUAGAUCACUUUUGUCUUGUAGAAUGCUUAGAAACAUUUAGAAGGCUCUGCAGGAGGUGAUGUGAUGAGUCAGAUUAGGGUGGCUGCCAGGUGUAGGAGUGUAGAAUUUUCAAGUGGUUUUCAGUCCCAGUUUUGUGGCUGAGUAGCUGUGUCACUUUGGAUGAUGCACUCAAGGAAGUAAACAAUUUAUCUAAUCAAUUGAAGAAGUGAUGUACCGACCUCCCAGGACUGCUGUGGUGAUCCAGUGAGAUAACGUGUUCACAGUGUGCAGCGUGGUCCCCAGCACACAGUCAGUGCUGAGUGAGUGCCAGUGAGUACCUGGUAGUUCAGGUGUGGGUGGUGGGACUCGGUGACUGAGGAAAUCUGGGCCCUGAAGGUGGGGUCCAGUCACAUCUGUGAGUGAUGGGCCUGAGCUGGGAGAGGAAGGGAGACCUUGCCCCCCGACCAGGGGCCCUGGGUAGGACGGCUAUGGGAGGAGCACCGUGAAGUCAGCUCUUUGCAGGUGGAGCUCGAGUUGCCUUUGAGAUAUCUAAGUGCAUUGUCAUGAGCUCAAAGAGGAGGUCUGGGCCCGGGCUGUGAAUUUUCCUAUAAUCUUAAUCCCUGAGGACGCUGAGGUAUUGAUCACUGAACGUGAAGACAUACUUUACAGGACAAGUGAAUAGUAGUAUCAUCUCUGUCAUCAAAGCUCACAUCUCUUUAUUCAUCACAAGUUUGCUAUUGGGUACUUACAGAGCUCACUUCACCGCCAUCCCCUGGGCUCAGGCUCCACAGUAAAGAGCUGGUGAGCCUCCCUCUUUUCCAGAAGAAGACACAUUUAGCUGGUAGAAUUCUGUACCUCGCCAGACUUAGAAUUUUAGUUUGUUGUUUUAAUUCUAUUUUCUGUUAGCCAUCUCCUGACAGGAGAGACGUUUUACCUCAUGGACAUAUUUCAAUUAGCUGUUACUGAGAAUUGCUGAUCUGAUCCAUAGUGUAAGUAUUAUAUUAACCUUGUAGAGUAUUUAUCAUUUUUCUGUCUUUGCCCUUUAAUUUUGUAUGCCCCUUCAAGUCUCUAUCCUAUUUGGGGCCUUAUUUUUUUUAAUUAAAAAAUGUCUAUUUGCAGUUAAGAAAACAAAAGAAAAGAAAAAAUACACAUGAUAGCUAAACUUAGAAAA
Molecule: long non-coding RNA, 2669 nt
Organism: Camelus dromedarius (Arabian camel)
Lineage: Eukaryota; Metazoa; Chordata; Mammalia; Artiodactyla; Camelidae
Exons: 2
Source: RefSeq, a predicted model, not a curated record